GAUGAACGCUGGCGGCGUGCCUAAUACAUGCAAGUCGAGCGAACAGACGAGGAGCUUGCUCCUCUGACGUUAGCGGCGGACGUGUGAGUAACACGUGGAUAACCUACCUAUAAGACUGGGAUAACUUCGGGAAACCGGAUCUAAUACCGGAUAAUAUAUUGAACCGCAUGGUUCAAUAGUGAAAUACGGUUUUGCUGUCACUUAUAGAUGGAUCCGCGCCGCAUUAGCUAGUUGGUAAGGUAACGGCUUACCAAGGCAACGAUGCGUAGCCGACCUGAGAGGGUGAUAGGCCACACUGGAGCUGAGACACGGUCCAGACUACUACGGGAGGCAGCAGUAGGGAAUCUUCCGCAAUGGGCGAAAGCAUGACGGAGCAACGCCGAGUGAGUGAUGAAGGUCUUCGGAUCGUAAAAAUCUGUUAUUAGGGAAGAACAAAUGUGUAAGUAACUAUGCACGUAUUGACGGUAACUAAUCAGAAAGCCACGGCUAACUACGUG
RNAcentral lists this ribosomal RNA (497 nucleotides) under uncultured bacterium. RNAcentral's name for it is "partial 16S ribosomal RNA". It matches the Rfam family "Bacterial small subunit ribosomal RNA", at positions 28 to 507 of the family's 1533-position model. The record is from RNAcentral.